Molecule: long non-coding RNA, 515 nt
Filed under: Heterocephalus glaber (naked mole-rat)
Lineage: Eukaryota; Metazoa; Chordata; Mammalia; Rodentia; Bathyergidae
Description: lncRNA (ENSHGLG00000034715.1)
Source: RNAcentral
UGGGGACCUUGGUGGCAGCGGGGAUUCGGAACAGGGCCCACAUGGUGCCUGCUGCCUUCCUCUCUCCUGCAUCGGCCUCCUCCCCCUCAUACAAGGGAAACUGAGGCAGCGACAUGCCUGGCUGCAGAACAAGGCUACUGUCCCAGAGAGGGAAGGAAGCUGCCUGUUGGGUGAAGCCCUCCUGGGGUCCCACUUCCAUGGGUCACUUUGGAGGCUCACUUCUUCCCUCUCCUUUGCGAAAGACACCCAGCCAGGUCCUGAGUCGCCUCCUUCAGAGCAUCUCGCUGUGCACACUACCUGCCCGAGUCACUUGGGAGCCGCCGCAGAUGUCAGAUCCACUGUUUGGAGCUUGAAGUGUUUGUACUUCAGUGACCCUUAUGCUACUUAAUAAUGGUCCGAGGCCCAAGAGCAGUGGCACUGGCAGUUUGAACAGGCCAGAGAAGAACCUGAAGAGCUUCUUUCAGUACCAAGAUGGUGGGCGGGGUGGCGAGUGCCUGUCAUCCCAGCACUAGGAG